CUUUUCGGGGUCCUACAUGGCAGGGCUUCCGACCCCCGGCCCGAGACGGGGCUCGCAGUCCCCAGAGGGGCAGGCUGGAGAAGGAGGAGGUUAGGUGUCUUGAGGAGGGUUGUUGAGCCCAAGGACGCGCCAUCGCUGCGGAGAAGGAGCCGGACCCCUUGGGCGGAGCGCCCAAUGUGUGGUCCCUCACGCCGUCCCGCACCUUGCUUUUUAGGGUUUUUUUUUCCGCUUUCUGAGCCCUUUUAUACCUUACGUUUAGAAGGGGAAAAUCAUCCUCCCACACCUUCUCCCCGACUUUUUGCCCUUUUUGUCUUGAAGUUACCCAAAGGCCUGUAUAUUGUUCUCAAUGUUCUCAAGAAUUACUCUAAUAUAGUUGUUUUUCUGAGGGAGGAUAGAUGGAGAUAACUAUCCUGAUCCCAAUGUCAGUUUUUAAGGCAUUCGCUUCAAGAGACAAGCAGUUUAGAAUCAGGCAGAACUGGAUUGCACAAUUUAUGGGCAGAGCGAGAAAAUGCUGCUGUGAAGACCCAAUUAAAGCUUUCACAUAAAUGAAGCUACAGCUAUCAUGAUUUAGUGCCCCCAAAAGGAAGAACUUCAGUGGACAAGAAAGGACAUUUCUGGGGGUAGUAGAAUGCUUGAGGCCUGGAAUUUAAACCUGAGCCACUAUCUGAAGAAGUUUUAUCAUUUGAUAGUCUGUGAUCCAUUUCAAGUUGAUUUGCUAUCUGGUGUGAGGACACAGGAUACUGUCAGCUCAGCCCUGGGAUGGGCAUCUGCUCAACUUGGCCACAGCACCAGUUCUCCAGGGGCCCAUGUGCUGCUUCAGCUUAAGCCUGGGGGGCAUGACUGUUCUGGGAGGCCCAGGCAUCAUUUCCUGGAAUGUGGGGAGUUGCUUCACCUUAUGCACUGGAGAAGCAUGACUGCUCUGAGCAGCUAAGCUAUUAAAUAAUAGAAGAAAAUGGAAUUGAAUAUGAUGUCAGCAUGGAACAAUCUAAUGAUUCAUUAAGAGUCAACCAUAAUGAUGGUGAAGAGUCAAAAACCAAUGCUCAAGUAUUUGAGCAUCUAACCUGUAUGGACUCCAGAGAUUCUUCCUUUGGACAAAAUGAUUCUCCUACAGUUUUGCCCAUCACUACUCCUGAAGCAAAUAAUUCACUCAUAUCACAGAAUGUACCAGGGCCCCUGACUCAGACACAGACUCUUUCUGCAGAGCAAUUCCAUCUAGUGGACCAAAAUGGGCAAGCUAUUCAAUAUGAACUUCAGUCAUUGGGGGAAUCCAAUUCACAAAUGAUGAUCGUUGCCAGCCCAACAGAAAAUGGACAGGUACUUCGUGUAAUUCCAUCUACCCAGACAGGAAUGGCACAAGUGAUUAUACCUCAGGGGCAGCUUGUGGAUGUGAAUAGUCCUCGGGAUGUCCCUGAAGAGAAACCUAGUGACGGAAACUUAUCAACUGUAAGAGUGGAUACUGUAGCAGACAAUACCAGCAAUUACAUUCUUCAUCCUCAAACAUCCUUCACAUUGCCCAAAAAGUCAGUGACCAGAAUGCUGGAAGAACCCCUUCUGGCACCUCUUCAGCCACUUUCUUCUAACACACCUAUAUGGGCCUGCCGUCUUAGGAGCUGUGAGAAAAUUGGAGAUUCAUACCGUGGCUACUGUGUAAGUGAGACUGAAUUAGAAAGUGUCCUAACAUUUCACAAGCAGCAAACACAGAGUGUUUGGGGGACCCGUCAGUCUCCAAGCCCAGCCAAGCCUGCUACACGCUUGAUGUGGAAAUCCCAGUAUGUCCCGUAUGAUGGAAUCCCAUUUGUUAAUGCAGGGAGUAGAGCUGUGGUAAUGGAGUGUCAGUAUGGGCCAAGAAGAAAAGGUUUCCAGUUAAAAAAAGUCAGUGAGCAGGAAAGCAGGUCUUGUCAGCUCUACAAAGCCACUUGUCCAGCUCGGAUUUACAUUAAAAAGGUACAGAAGUUUCCUGAAUAUAGAGUUCCUACAGACCCCAAAAUUGACAAGAAAAUUAUCAGAAUGGAGCAGGAGAAAGCUUUUAACAUGCUAAAGAAGAACUUGGUAGAUGCUGGUGGUGUUCUUAGGUGGUAUGUACAGUUACCUACACAGCAAGCUCAUCAGUAUCAUGAAUUAGAGACUCCCUGCCUCACUUUGUCACCUUCUCCUUUUCCUGUGUCUUCUCUUGAAGAAGAGGAAACUGCAGUUAGAGAUGAGAAUUGUGCAUUACCCUCACGUUUACAUCCUCAAGUAGCACAUAAGAUUCAAGAAUUAGUAUCACAGGGAAUAGAACAAGUGUAUGCAGUAAGGAAACAGCUAAGAAAAUUUGUGGAAAGGGAACUGUUCAAACCUGAUGAGGUACCUGAAAGACAUAAUUUAUCUUUUUUUCCAACUGUAAAUGAUAUAAAAAAUCACAUCCAUGAGGUACAGAAAUCCUUGAGAAAUGGAGAUACGGUAUAUAACUCAGAGAUUAUUCCGGCAACGCUUCAAUGGACUACAGACAGUGGGAAUAUUCUCAAAGAGACCGUGACAGUUACAUUUGCAGAAGGAAAUUCACCAAGAGAAUCAAUUACCACCAAAGUGGAAACAAAUCAGACUGGGGGUUCUUUGUCUCCUGAGCCAACCCACUUGCUCUCCUCACUCUCCUCAUUUCAGCCCAAAAUAUUUACACAACUACAGGGUUUGCAGUUACAACCAAGGUUCACCUCUCCUGAUGAAUCACCAGCUGUGAUAUCAGUAAAUAACCAGCCGUCCUCUAGUCCUUCAGGACUUCUGGAUACAAUAGGAAGUGCUGUAAUGAAUAAUAAUUCUCUACUGCUUGGUCAAAGUCAUAGCCUUCAAAGAGAUACAUGCUUAACCCAAAACAAUAGUACUGCCUCCACCAUGGGUAACCUUCCAGAACCAGAUCAAAAUCUAGUUGCAAUGGACGAGCUGGUAGAAGUUGGAGAUGUUGAGGAUACAGGGAAUCUGGAAGGAACUGUUCAUCGGAUUCUGUUGGGAGAUGUGCAGACUAUUCCAAUACAGAUUAUAGACAACCACUCAGCUCUUAUUGAAGAAAAUCCAGAAAGUACCAUUUCUGUGAGCCAAGUUAAGCAAGAGCCCAAAGAACCAGCAUUGUCUAUGGAAGCAAAAAAAAUUGUGGACUAUAAGAAAUUAUCUGCUACAUAAAUUAUUGAAGCUUUUCAGAACUUACAACUCUGGUGACUUCUGAUGUCUUAGAAAAGAAGGUGAAUAUAGUCAAAGCAUGGCAUUGAGAUAAUUGGAAUGAAGACCAGUUUGAUGAGAAGCUUUUAUUUAAAACUGAUAUAUUUGUUGCCAGUUCCAUAUUUUUACCUUCCUUAAGAGAUGUUUUACUCUUCUUAUUUUGUAUAAUUUUUAUGCUCUUUGAUUAUCUAAUAAGGCCAGUAUUUCAAAAGUUGUUUUGAAUUUAUCCACAGUAAUAUAGUCUGAACACAAAUAGUUAACUUAUCCUUGGAAAUAUUCAAUUUUGUUUAUUACAAAACAGAAAAGAACAACAGCAACAAAAACAUUGUGUGAAUGUAUGUUUGUAUGUGUGUAUGUAUAUCAUGAAUUUUUUUUAAGUUCUGAAAGAACUUGUUCUCUCUUUAAAGUUGUGAAGAAAUUUUUAAUUGCCAGACAGGUAAGAAAAUGUUUAUAAUCUAUCUCAUUAAGAAAGAUGAAGUAUUAGAUUUUACAUCAUAACACAAAGUCCAGCAGCUACAUCUGUGGAAACUGUGCAGUUGCAUUUUAGCCUCUUCCCUUCUAAUUUUUGUACUUUUAACUACAAACCAAUAGUAUACUAAUGGUUAUCUAAUAGAAAUUUAAAGUGUCUUGGUAAGUACUGAGAAUUUUUACUUGAAUUAAUCAGAUAAGCAACAGAAGUCAACAUAUGUAGCAUGAAUUUGUGCUAUAUUAGAAGUAAAACACUAUAGGCAGAAAUAUGUAGAAAUUGAGAGAAUUGAAAAAGAAUAAUAGAAUUCCUUGGUGUUUACAGAUAAUUUGGGAAACUUUUUGAUGACAGCAGAGGAUUUUUUUCCCCCUUAUUUUGUAAUGAAGAUCCAGAGCUGGUUAAAAGAUAAUUUGAUUUGUAGUUACAUUUUUCUAUGCCAGAGCUCUUACUGAAUUGAUGAUAUUAGGAUUUCUAGUAUUUUAAGGUAGAAACUGGAGCUAUCAGUAUUUUCAUGUAAGUAUUUCAAUGAGUAGCUCUUUAAAAAUGGUUUCUAAAUUAGAUUUUAAAAAUUCACUGUCAUCUAAAUGCAUGUUUAGUCACAAUGUAUCAGUAUUGUGUUUAAAGGUGCUCAGCAUCACUGUUUGAAAACUAUGUUUACAUAUUUAAAAUGUUUAAUUAUUCUGAAAUGUAUAGGGUAUUAAAUACAAGCUCCUAAAAUCUUCAGUAUCUAUAUUGGCUUUCUCUAACAGCUCUACAGCAAAGUUUGACAUUUUUUUUUGUGUGUCAUGUAUUGUAAGUUGUAAUAUCUGUAGGAGUGAGUUGGACAUUCUAAAUUAGCAGUAAGAAAUUCACAAUUACAGCUCAGCUUGUUUAUUCAUUAUAGUUUUCACAUUCCCAACUUCCAAGUGAACUUUAUAUAUACUACAGUGAAUUAUAGAUAAAUACAGCCAUGGUGGACCUUUCCCUCAAUAGCGAUUUUCUGUACAAACAGUUAGUAUACUUAAAAGGAAAAGCUUUUAUAUCUUAUGCAAGGUAAAUGUUUCCUAAACGUCACAAAAGUGAUAGAAAACAUAGCUUUUGGGAUCUGGUCCUGCAUCAGAGUUUCUAAUUCUGAGACCCACCAGCUUGUGUUUCAUCUUCUUUAUAUCCUGUCAGAAUACAUACUUAAUCAUGUGGGUAUGAGAAAGAUGUUGUUUAACUUGUACCAGGUUUAAAAAAAGAGGUUUAAAAAAUGUGUGUGCAUAUAUAUAUAUAUGUAUAUAUAUAUAGCAACUUGAUGUAUAGUGUCCUUGUUAUGUAUUUUUUUCAUUAAAAAUCCUGUUUUUUUUUCUUAUACUUGUUAGUUUUCUUUUUAUGUUUUUCUUAGAGAUAGUGGCAAUUUUGUUCAUCUUGAAGAUGCUGAAUAAACACUUGAAUACC
Molecule: RNA transcript, 5074 nt
Organism: Nomascus leucogenys (northern white-cheeked gibbon)
Lineage: Eukaryota; Metazoa; Chordata; Mammalia; Primates; Hylobatidae
Gene: CARF
Gene name: calcium responsive transcription factor
Exons: 19
Source: RefSeq, a predicted model, not a curated record